GAUGAACGCUGGCGGCGUGCUUAACACAUGCAAGUCGAACGGAAAGGCCAGUGCUUGCACUGGUACUCGAGUGGCGAACGGGUGAGUAACACGUGGGUGAUCUGCCCUGUACUUCGGGAUAAGCUUGGGAAACUGGGUCUAAUACCGGAUAGGACAACUUUUUGGAUAUUGUUGUGGAAAGCUUUUGCGGUACGGGAUGAGCUCGCGGCCUAUCAGCUUGUUGGUGGGGUAAUGGCCUACCAAGGCGUCGACGGGUAGCCGGCCUGAGAGGGUGUACGGCCACAUUGGGACUGAGAUACGGCCCAGACUCCUACGGGAGGCAGCAGUGGGGAAUAUUGCACAAUGGGCGCAAGCCUGAUGCAGCGACGCCGCGUGGGGGAUGAAGGCCUUCGGGUUGUAAACUCCUUUCGCUAGGGACGAAGCGCAAGUGACGGUACCUGGAGAAGAAGCACCGGCUAACUACGUG
RNAcentral lists this ribosomal RNA (466 nucleotides) under uncultured bacterium. RNAcentral describes it as "partial 16S ribosomal RNA". It matches the Rfam family "Bacterial small subunit ribosomal RNA", at positions 28 to 507 of the family's 1533-position model. The record is from RNAcentral.